GGGGACAGGUCCAGUGGAACAGUACCCCCCCCAUACACCCUGGGGCCAGGAACUGCCUGACUGUGGACAGCUGGAGAGUUGACUGAGUGUUGAGUGCCUGGGGCAUCCCUGUAUCCACACCAGCAGAGGGGCCUACUCAGCAAGGCACCUGCAGCACCUGCAGCAGAGUCCUUGGAAUUUGAGAAGGAACCCACAGCAGGAGGAGGUCAGCAGGGAGGGCAUGAGGUGGGGGGAGCUUGGACUGGGAGGCCCCUCUACAGUCUAUACUCCACCAAAUGACUAGGGGAGCCCUGGGAAGCAGGG
Molecule: long non-coding RNA, 303 nt
Filed under: Rhinolophus ferrumequinum (greater horseshoe bat)
Lineage: Eukaryota; Metazoa; Chordata; Mammalia; Chiroptera; Rhinolophidae
Description: lncRNA (ENSRFEG00010005904.1)
Source: RNAcentral